ACUGGCCUACGGGAGGCAGCAGUAGGGAAUCUUCCACAAUGGACGAAAGUCUGAUGGAGCAACGCCGCGUGAGUGAAGAAGGGUUUCGGCUCGUAAAGCUCUGUUGGUAGUGAAGAAAGAUAGAGGUAGUAACUGGCCUUUAUUUGACGGUAAUUACUUAGAAAGUCACGGCUAGCUACGUGCCAGCAGCCGCGGGAAUACGUAGGGGGCAAGCGUUGCCCGGAUUUAUUGGGCGUAAAGCGAGUGCAGGCGGUUUAAAA
RNAcentral lists this ribosomal RNA (260 nucleotides) under uncultured bacterium. Its description in RNAcentral is "partial 16S ribosomal RNA". It matches the Rfam family "Bacterial small subunit ribosomal RNA", at positions 335 to 585 of the family's 1533-position model. The record is from RNAcentral.